AGAGUUUGAUCCUGGCUCAGAAUGAACGCUGGCGGCGUGCUUAACACAUGCAAGUCGCACGAGAACGUUUCAGCUUGCUGAAACUAGUAAAGUGGCGUACGGGUGAGUAACGCGUGGGUAAUCUACCUCCGAAUUGGGGAUAACAUUGCGAAAGUGAUGCUAAUACCGAAUGACAUCUCAAGAGCUUCGGCUCUGGAGAUCAAAGGUGGCCUCUCCUUGGAAGCUACUGUUUGGAGAUGAGUCCGCGUACCAUUAGCUUGUUGGUAGGGUAAUGGCCUACCAAGGCCGCGAUGGUUAGCUGGUCUGAGAGGAUGAUCAGCCACACUGGAACUGACACACGGUCCAGACUCCUACGGGAGGCAGCAGUGAGGAAUUUUGCGCAAUGGGGGAAACCCUGACGCAGCAACGCCGCGUGAGUGAUGAAGGCUUUCGGGUCGUAAAGCUCUGUCAAGUGGGAAGAGCCUGCCCUUUGCUAAUAUCAUUGGGCACUGACGGUACCACUGAAGGAAGCACCGGCUAACUCCGUGCCAGCAGCCGCGGUAACACGGGGGGUGCAAGCGUUAUUCGGAAUUACUGGGCGUAAAGAGCGCGUAGGCGGUUUCUAAAGUCAGAUGUGAAAGCCCGGGGCUCAACCCCGGAAGUGCAUUUGAAACUUAGGGACUUGAGUAUGGGAGAGGGAAGUGGAAUUCCUGGUGUAGCGGUGAAAUGCGUAGAUAUCAGGAGGAACACCGGUGGCGAAGGCGACUUCCUGGACCAAUACUGACGCUGAGGCGCGAAGGCGUGGGGAGCAAACAGGAUUAGAUACCCUGGUAGUCCACGCAGUAAACGUUGAACACUAGGUGUAGCGGGUAUUGACCCCUGCUGUGCCGCAGCUAACGCAUGAAGUGUUCCGCCUGGGGAGUACGGCCGCAAGGCUAAAACUCAAAGGAAUUGACGGGGGCCCGCACAAGCGGUGGAGCAUGUGGUUUAAUUCGACGCAACGCGAAGAACCUUACCUGGGUCUGACAUUCCCGGGAAUUUGUGGAAACGCAAAAGUGCCCUUCGGGGAGCUCGGAGACAGGUGCUGCAUGGCUGUCGU
This 1078-nucleotide ribosomal RNA is filed under the name uncultured delta proteobacterium. Its description in RNAcentral is "bacterial SSU rRNA". It matches the Rfam family "Bacterial small subunit ribosomal RNA", at positions 8 to 1055 of the family's 1533-position model. The record is from RNAcentral. Lineage: Bacteria; Deltaproteobacteria.